Molecule: ribosomal RNA, 305 nt
Filed under: uncultured bacterium
Lineage: Bacteria
Description: bacterial SSU rRNA
Rfam family: Bacterial small subunit ribosomal RNA
Source: RNAcentral
GAUAAACGCUGGCGGCGUGCCUAACACAUGCAAGUCGAACGCCCUUUUGCGCAAGUGAGAGGGAGUGGCGGACGGGUGAGUACCACGUGGGUACCUACCUUGAGGUGAGGAAUACCACCGAGAAAUCGGUGACAAGACCGCAUACGCUUGGCAACAAGCAAAGUCUCGCAAGAGACGCCACAAGAUGGGCCUGCGCCUGAUUAGCUAGUUGGUGAGGUAAUGGCUCACCAAGGCGACGAUCAGUAGCUGGUCUGAGAGGAUGAUCAGCCACACUGGGAUUGAGAACGGCCCAGACUCCUACGGGG